AUAUAUUUGUCUUUGGUUGUUGUGUUCAACCUCCCUUGCUGCAGACAUCAUGUCUUAUCUAUGCCAAUGUUUACAUUAGCUGCAUUCUUUAGCUCAGGCUUGAGUGACUAGAGUACAGAGAGAAAAAAAAUGUGUCUGUCUUUUUGUAUUCUGUUACAAAAUGGAGUCAUUUCUGUACUGAUGGUGACUUACGGUAUACACUUUUGAUUUCUGUCUUAACACAAAAUGUCUGCCAGUAUAAAUAUACAGACAGCACGCCAGCUGAGUGAGCUUGCAUCCAAAUAAAUGAAUAAGUCCCAAGCUGCACCAAAAAUUGCUUUGCCCUCCCAGGUUUCGAUAUGUAGGAACCACCAGGAGAGUUCUUCUGCAGCCUUACAGUUGAUCGGAAUGAUAUGAUCGGAAGUGAAUCCUUGAUGCAGAUAGCAGACUGAUCAUCUUUGCUAGGUGACAUAUCGUGAUCAUAAUUCAAGUCCGAACCUUUCUGAUAUCUUUCUUGAUGGUUUUGAUAUUGGAGGAUGGUAGAUGCAGAGAGCUUUGAACAGUAUUCAUGGUAAACCCAAGGAAUUCCAUUUUUUGCAAUGUGGUGAGGAUUGACUUUUCCCAGUUAAGGAGAAAUCCUAGAAAGAGGUUUCUGAGGAAGCCCGGUGAUUUUAGAAGAAUAAGUCUGAUCAAUCCUUUGUUGGCGGACUUCUUGAGAAACUAGAUGUUUGUCUUGUUUGUAGAAUUAGAUUGUAUAUGUGGCAGACACCUGGAUUAGGGUUGUUAGGAGCUCUAUGCAGUAUCUCAUCAUGGUCUGGAAGAUCCAUGCAUUUGUGGUCAAGGAUCUCUAUGCACUUUGAAAAAGCAUUAAUCUGCCCCUUACUUUUGCAUGGGAAGAAGAUAGAAUUAACAAUUGAUUAUGUCAGCUUUGAGGAUUGCCUAUGGUGCCUUGAUUCUGCCAAGGGCAGUAAUUUGCUGGGGAAGAAAGUAGAUGAGGAUUGUUUUGUUUCUUGGAAUGUCCAGAUCCUUGGGUUCUACAAAAUACACCUCUAAUAGAUCAGCUGGCCAGAUAGCCCUGUGUUCUACCGGCUUUCCUAAAACCUUAUUAUAAGUUAAACACCUGUGCAUGUUAGAUUCUGCCUCAUCUAGGGUCAUAAAGGUGCUUACAAAGGUGCCCAACUGUUUGGCAAAGAUCUCUCUGAACAGGAGUCUAUCACCUGGGGUCCAGGUUCAGAGGUGGCAAGGUUAACGAGCUUAGGCUCUAUCUGUGGUAAAAUAGCCUUGCAUUGUUGGUGGCAAUAAGGCAAGCAAUGCGUUGUAUCUACCCUGUAAUAAUUAGAAGGUCUACUGAAGUGCCCUCAGAGAGAGCAGACUCAACCAUUUCAAAUAUUUUAUUUCUGAGGCCAAGAAUAUCCAAGACUUUUAUCAAUUGCAUAGAGAGAAAUCUAAGUCUGUUCUGGCUUUUCAGACAUUUUAUUUUUUCAGGAAUUGGGCAAACUUAGGGUCUAUCUCAGGGGUAGUGCGGACUUAGUAAGGUACAGUGGGUCUUGGACAUUCAGCCCUGAGUUUGUUUCAAGUGGCCUUGUCAAGUGGUUUGCAUAUUCGCAGGGCCAAAUAUUUGGUCACAUGUUCUGUGGGGAGCCAAUCUGCUGACCGUGGAUGGUGUAAAUUAGGGCUGUCCAACCUAAGGUAAUGCGAGAGCUACAUGACAAAACAAGAUUUUUCUGAGCGCUUCAUGUAAAGAUAUAAAUUCAUUACAUACUUUAUAGUAUUUAUUAAAAAAAGAGCAUUACAUUUUUUAUGAAUAAAUAUUUUUUAAUGCAAUAAAAAAAAAUAACUGGUGACACAUUUCAGCAUAUUUUGUGUGCUUGAAUGUAUGUAUUUGUGUGUAGUGUUCGCAUUCGAAUGCAGUUUGUAUGUACUGUUGCUAUUUUAAAGCACUGGCAUACUUGUGUUUAGUAUUUGUGUGUGAAUUUGUUUGUAUGUAGAGUUGGCAUUUCAUUGCUGGGAUCUAUGCACAUACAAUGCCUUGCAAAUAGAUACUGAAACACACACAAAUACAUACACUCACACACACACACACACACACACACACAGAUACACACACACACACACUGACACACACAGAUACACACUGACUUAUACACACACUAACACACACAGAUACACACUGACUGAGUUUGGUUCCUCAACACCAGGUAACUCUGUGUCCCUUGAUAUGGGUUGUGCACUGGAACAAGGAUGGAUAGAACAAAAAUACCUAAAUUUGGUGAUACUGACAGCCCCACAUGUGGAAAUUCUGAUAGUCGAUAUUCAGUGAUUCUCCGAGUUAGUUCAACAUUUAGUGAUUCCUAGUUACUCCCAGAUAAUGUGAUACUGACAUUUAGUCCCACAUUUGGAGAAAUUUAAGAUCAGUUUAUAAUUUCUAUACAUGGGUGCUAUACGUGUGUCAUUCAAUUCUCAGUCACUGUUAGUAAAUUGGGGCUCAUUUCUUUCAAAUACACAAGGAAUAAGUUUUGCAUUCCACUGAGAAUUCUGAUUUUUAUUAAGCUUGGCAACAAUCAGAUAUAUGUAGUAGUCCACAACAACUUGAAUACCAAAGCCUAGUCCUCACUGCGUGAAGUCACGUGUGUCUGUGACCUUCAGUGAGUCCAAUAAAUCUUCACAUAUGAGACACCCAUGCCUUAGACUGCAAGCUCCUAGGAGCAGGAUUGUUAUAUGGCUUUUUUAUUUUGUACCAUCUACUCAGUAUAUGUGUAUUCUCAUUUCAAAUACUCAAAAAUAUAUAUAUCUAUGUAAUCUUUCCAAUGGAAUAAAGAAACAUUAACAAUAU
RNAcentral lists this long non-coding RNA (2812 nucleotides) under Pelobates cultripes (western spadefoot toad). Lineage: Eukaryota; Metazoa; Chordata; Amphibia; Anura; Pelobatidae. The record is from RNAcentral.